This 89-nucleotide transfer RNA is filed under the name Actinoplanes lobatus. RNAcentral describes it as "tRNA-Thr". Lineage: Bacteria; Bacillati; Actinomycetota; Actinomycetes; Micromonosporales; Micromonosporaceae. The record is from RNAcentral.
CGGUGGCCAGGUCGGCCGCCUGUCGGCCGGUGACCGACGGCAGUGAGAUCCGCAGCUCGAUCGCCAGUUCGAAGCGGCCGCCGUCGCCC